GUAGGUACUAUUAUUAUCCCAAUGUGAGAGAUGGGAAAACAGCUACAAGGCAUGUGACUUGUCCAGGGUCAUACAAUUAGUGUCCAAGGCAGGAUGAGGUUCAUUGCUCUAUUCAUUGUAGUCGCCUAUAGUAUAUUAAGCUCUUACUAGGUGCCAGGUAUUGUGCUAAGUGCUGGCGAACAAAUAUGAACAAAUAUAUGAACAAAAUAUGAACAAAUAGUCCCUGCCCUCAAGGAAUCUAAACUUUAAUGGUGGAAGAUUACACACACAUAUAAGAUAAAGAAGAAAAAAAAAAGGAAAGGAAGGUGCAUAUUCCAAGACAAGAUGGCAAAAUCUAGUUAGUGAAGUAUGAGUGGUCUACACCUUUCCUCAGAAUAGAGGCUCUUGGAAGAAUUCUAUUUUCCAAGCACGUACUAGCUCUGGCACACAGUGCUGUAAUUAUUCUAUGCUUUAGGAGCCUUUAUAGUCUUAGCAGUCUAUGUUCUAAUGGACUUCCUAGCUCUAGAAAUCUGUAUUCUAAGAUUGCUCGCAUCUCUCAUGUUCUCUGUCGAUUUUACCUUCUAACAUUCUACAUUCUGGAAGUGCUGUUCUUUAAUUUUAAAACAUGGCUCCUUGACUUUGAAAGGCUUACAAUCCAGCAGGGAAAUUUCGGAGAAAUCCAGAUUUUUUGGUAAGUCUUUCCCUUAGCUCUUGACUGCUUUUUUUCCCUGUUGUGUGGAAAAGAAAUCAUAUGCUCCUAGCUUUUUACAUAACCAGUAGACUGCAUCGAUCUGGGUUCAUUUACGUUCAAUAAAUAUUUGUUAAGUACUCACUAUGAACAAGGUCUUUCUAGUGAGAAGCAGUAUAAACAGAGAACAGGCCAAUCCUAAAACCAGAAAGUCCUGGAUUCAAAUCCUGCUUCUAACAGGUACUGUUUGACCCUGUUCAAGUUAUUUACCCUUCAAGCAAUCCCAUCAGGUGAGGGAUUCUUAAUCUUUUUGGUGUCAUGGACUCCAUUGGCAGGCUGAUGAAAUAUGUAGACCUAUUAUCAGAAAGUUUUAAGUUACAUUAAAAUGAAAUACUUGGGAUUGCAAAGGAAAGUAGUUAUAUUUAAAUAAUUAUUAAUAUUUAUUUUUUUAAUUCAUGGGUUCCAAAUUAGAAGUCCCUGCCUAUAUAUAUUACAGAGACGGUUUUGACUUGUGCUGAAGAGGAAACUGUUUCACCUGGAAGUUCUCCAUGCCAGUAGAAUCACAGGUCCUAUCCCAGUACUUAUGAAUAAAUCACUAUGGUUUAGGAUACAAAUAGGAAAAAGACAAAAAGAUAACAGUUCUUGUUCACAUGGAGCUUAUGUUUUAUAGAUUAUAAACUGGAAGAAGCAUAAUUCUCUUCUAACCAGGGCAAUCUCAUUUCUAACCAGGGCAGUUUUGCUAAAUGGACUUUGUGGUCAUUGAGGAAGGAUUAGAGAUCAUAGACAACUAGAUCUAAAAUUGCAAGUACCUUCAGAGGUUAUUGGUUCAACCUCCUUAUUUGAUGUGGACAGACUAGCUACUCAGUCAGAGAACCUCUUCUCAAUUUGAAAUCUGUGCCUGAAUGGAAUCACAAAUCUGGCAAAGAUUCUAGGGAGUGGAAAUGGGCAUUUGGGUCUCUGUGGUAGCCACAGUCUUUGGAUCUCCUGUCUCUGACAUGGUACUGUUGUGCUCCAUGGCAAUCCUCAGGUCUGGAAUGCUUUUGCAUUGAUACCUCUCUCCACCUGCUGAAAUCUCAUUAUUCAAGGUCCAAAUCAAAUACCACAUCCCCCACAAAGCUUCUCCUGAUUCUCCUCCCCUUUAGGGGAAAAUAAGUUAAAAGGAAACACUUCCUUGAAAAAUACUACUUGGUAUCAGCUUUUCUUAUAAUUCAUUGUACAUACUUUAUCUUGUCCAUCUUCCCUCUGAGACCACAAGCUGUAGAUGGAAGAGACCACGUCUACGGUCCUUCCUAGUGCCUCUCAUUAUGCCUUGGUCAGAGUAGGUACUAGAGAUGUAUUUGAUGAUUCAGAGUUUUUGAAUAGCCAUGUUAGUGUGGAGAAACUCCUGGGACCCCUCUCUCCAGAGCAGUUAAGGUGACAAUUUCAGCCCCUUCCCUGAAGGAAUAUGUGGAGCAGAGCCUGGCUGAUUGUGUCUCUUUGAAGCAAGGAAACACAAGAGGAGGGAGCCCCUAUGGGGGAACUGUUGAUGGGGCUCCUCGCUCAGAGGGGUUGGUGCUUGUUGGUUUUCCUGAGGCAGAGAAAACCAGGUUCUUUUCUCAUAGGUUUUUCUGAGAGGGAAGAAGCAUCAGCUGAUGAAGAGCUGGCUUUAUAUCAGUCAGCAGGCAGCUGUAGUCCUGCAGAAGAGGGAGAGCGAGGGAUUGUAUGCAUACUCACACACUGAGAGGAAAAGCCGAAAUCACAGCAGAGGGUGUGUGUGUGUGUGUGUGUGUGUGUGUGUGUGUGUGCUUUUGCACUCAUUUGAUCUUUUUAUAUUUUAAAAAACUCCACAAUUUAUAGUGGGAAAGCUCUUCAUUUAGUAAAAUCUGAGAGGCUUGAGAGAUCGGCUUGAUUAUGCUCCUUCCUAAAUGAAUGAAACAAGACUGAAAUGAAGCAUUUCUAGAGCAAAGUAGCCAUUCAGGGACCAAUUGUAAUCUUCCUCUGAGUAAAGGCGUUGAUCGUUUGGGUUACUAGGUUUUCAUUUGCUUGUCUGGACCAAAGCAGAAGCUAAAGAUACAGGUUUUCUCCUUGAGGUCUUGGUGUUUUAUAUGAUCAAAAGCUCUCCAGAAUCUCUAGAAAAUGAAAUUCAGUCAUCAGUUGUAGUCUCUCUCUGUCUCUUUCUGUCUCUUUCUUUCUCUCUGUCUCUUCCCUUUCUCUCUUCUUUCCUCUCUCUCUCUGUUUCUCUGUCUCUGUCUC
This is a long non-coding RNA of Sarcophilus harrisii (Tasmanian devil), 2899 nucleotides long. RefSeq lists it as uncharacterized. The record is from RefSeq and is a predicted model, not a curated record. The transcript is spliced from 3 exons. NCBI's taxonomy places the organism in Eukaryota, Metazoa, Chordata, Mammalia, Dasyuromorphia, Dasyuridae.